UGAUUUCAGGGUAAUCUAGUAACCAUGAUUAUUGGUGUCUACAGUGGCAAUGAGUUCUUUUGGGAUCUCGUGGUGACUGCUGAUGGUAUUCUCCUGAUCUCUUUUUCUUUUACAGAAAUAUUUGCGACUGAGUAAGAGGACGUUGCAGCCUGGCAGCAGAUAUCGCCAGCCCAUGGGGACAAGCGACCAGGAAGCCGCUCCCUCCCAGAUGGGCCGCCAUGGCUAACUGGGACCUCCAGCACCAACAAGAUGACAUGAUCUUUUACCAGGAAAGACCCCAAAAAUUCCAACAGAAGACUCAUAGAACUAAUAAAUUCAGCAAAAUGGCAGGAUACAAAAUCAACACACAACAAUCAAUAGUGUUCCUGUACAC
Molecule: long non-coding RNA, 373 nt
Filed under: Heterocephalus glaber (naked mole-rat)
Lineage: Eukaryota; Metazoa; Chordata; Mammalia; Rodentia; Bathyergidae
Description: lncRNA (ENSHGLG00000047092.1)
Source: RNAcentral